Molecule: long non-coding RNA, 299 nt
Filed under: Homo sapiens (human)
Lineage: Eukaryota; Metazoa; Chordata; Mammalia; Primates; Hominidae
Description: HSALNT0379690
Source: RNAcentral
UUCAUCUUCAGUGGCAGUUGGUGUGGGUUGGGGUGUGUGCUGCAUUCCCAUAUGCUGUUAGGGCAAGUACAACAAAACCCACCUGUGUAAACACACACAGCUAAGUGAUGUAGAAAGUUUCCAUAUAAAGGGCUGCAGUAUGGAGAGGUAAUGUGCAGGCUGGCUGGGAGAGGCAAGCAGACUAAGGGGUGCUGAGGUCAGACCAGCCCCAUCUCAUGUGCAAGACUGCCCAGCAGAGAUCAGGUCUCAGAGGAGAACUCUCUCAAAAGUGAAUCCUCAGCACAGCACAACUGCUCUAC